AUUGAACGCUGGCAGCAGGCCUAACACAUGCAAGUCGAGCGGAUGAAGGGAGCUUGCUCCUGGAUUCAGCGGCGGACGGGUGAGUAAUGCCUAGGAAUCUGCCUGGUAGUGGGGGAUAACGUCCGGAAACGGGCGCUAAUACCGCAUACGUCCUGAGGGAGAAAGUGGGGGAUCUUCGGACCUCACGCUAUCAGAUGAGCCUAGGUCGGAUUAGCUAGUUGGUGGGGUAAAGGCCUACCAAGGCGACGAUCCGUAACUGGUCUGUGAGGAUGAUCAGUCACACUGGAACUGAGACACGGUCCAGACUCCUACGGGAGGCAGCAGUGUGGAAUAUUGGACAAUGGGCGAAAGCCUGAUCCAGCCAUGCCGCGUGUGUGAAGAAGGUCUUCGGAUUGUAAAGCACUUUAAGUUGGGAGGAAGGGCAGUAAGUUAAUACCUUGCUGUUUUGACGUUACCAACAGAAUAAGCACCGGCUAACUUCGUG
Molecule: ribosomal RNA, 484 nt
Filed under: uncultured bacterium
Lineage: Bacteria
Description: partial 16S ribosomal RNA
Rfam family: Bacterial small subunit ribosomal RNA
Source: RNAcentral